CUUGACCCUUCGUGCUCCCAUUCGCCCUUUCUCUCUGGAUCCCCUCUUCUCUCCCACGAUCCUCUCUCUCUUCCCCAACUGCCGCCGCCACCAUCGUCGCCUGGUACCGGCCAGUUCCGGCGAAGUCCGUCACCAUCCAGCACAUCCACGAGGUCAUCUUGUGACGCUGCUCCUUCUCCACCGGGUUGAUCCAUCGCGCCGCUCCUCUACGAGCGGCCCCGGCUAACCCUAGCACCGCGGUCAUCGGUGCACUACACGGCGUCGCCAUGGACGCCGGCGCUGCGCCUGCGGCUCCGAUCGGUCCUCGCCGACACCGCCUAAGUCCUCCCGCACUGCAUCGCCUCCUGGUCGUUGUUCCAGGCGCCUCCAUCGACUGGAGGAACGAUGGGCCCUCGUCCUUGUGCCAGUGCGCGUCCGUGAAGGAAACAAACCGUGAUGUGCCGCCUCAGAUCCACUGUGUGAAGGCAGCGGGGGAUGGAUCACAAGGGGAGAGGUGCAGUCCUCCAGAGCUAUUGGAUCCCAAAAUUGGAAGAUGAUGGCGAUAUGUUGCGAGGAUGAGUGCUUCUCCAUUUUCUGUUCUGUAUGUGGUGGUCGACGUUUGUACCUCGCUCGGGCUAAUUUCUUUGGUGCACGGGCUUUCAGAUCUAAGGUUCACCGGCACACAAGGUAUAUCCUAAGCCGUUAAUCGGUCCUACUCUACUGCAGAUCCCUGCUAUUGUUGUUCAGUGUCUUGCUUGCAAUACGAAUGGGUACCUCCAGAGUCACUUGGUUGUUUGAUGCAUUCGUGCUCGUCGGCGGGACGGUGCAAGGCGCAACUCCGAUGCGGUUCCUCACCGGUUGGACGGCGUUCAGGCGCAACCCCGGUGCUCACUGAGUACUGCCUCGGCUACAACCUCCCACGGUGAGGUAAAAAACGACUACGAUCGGAUUCCCUGGCUCCUCAGCGAUUUGGGCCUCCUGGCCGUUAGAUUCGUUUGCUUGAUGUGAUUCCAGCCGUCGGAUCGAGCAGUGGGAUGACCUGCGCCGUCGGAUUGAUUCGUUGCUCCUGUCGCAAUGAAAGUCACCGUUUCCCUGGGUUUUCGCUUACUCCACCGUUUUGAGCGUAUUUCGCUGGCGUGUGGGGUUUCCGGCGUGUGGGCCGCCUUGUUCAGUGACCGUGGCUAUGUGUUUUGGCUGUGUGGCCCGUGGGGCGCGUGGGCUGGCAAAUAUCUUGUGCCACCGCAAGAAAUAACGUACCCCCACAGAGGGUAUUUUGGUCUUUUCACGUUUUGGCCUUGUGCGUGGUGGACGGUGGUUGGCCCGUGCGUGGAUGAGGUGGGGGAGGGCACCAGCUUGCCCUUUCGUGCUCCCAUUCGCCCUUUCUCUCUGAAUCCCCUCUUCUCUCACACGACCCUCUCUCUCGUGUUGGGGCGAUGAUGAUUAGCCGUGGCUGGAAAAAAGUGUGCCUUUGAGCAAUCGGGGCACCUGUGGGUAUCAAGUUGAAUCCUCCCUCUUGUCUCUAGAAUCCUUUUUGAUCCUGUGAUACUUGUUGCUCUGUCCUUGGAUGGUCAUUCUUGUUGAGUGAUAACCAGGGCAACUCCAUUGUAUAAACAGAUUGAUCUGGUGAUAAGAGACGGGGGUAGGUUAUAUGAUCGAGGCAAGUCAGAUCUGAGCCCACUAUGCAAUGAACCCUGGACCCUUUUAUUUGUAUUUAAAGGUGUUGCUUAUUUAUGCUCCACUGCUUAUAGUCGUCUUAUGUAAAGAUUUCUUCUCUCUCAUACCUUUAUUGCAUACGAGUUGUUCUUGAUCUUUUAUUGUUUGUUGUUGGUCCUUGAUUUAAUCUGGUUAAGAGUAAGUUGUACUUUGUUAUACUAGAAAGACUCGCUCCCAACAAGUUAUCGGAGCCGCUCUUGUUGCCUUGAGUUUGUAUGGUAAAAAUAUGCCUUGGCAUGAGGGUGCCGGUCCCAACGUUUUGGUCAGGCGAAUACUAGAAAAACUCGCAGGUUCGGCCCUGGAGGUUCUCAGGUUCGACUCCGAGAGCUGCUCGCUUUCCGAGGAGCCCCUGGUGCAUCGCUGCCCGACCCCUUUUUUUGCUUUAAUUUUGGUUGGGCUUCAGAUUCGAUCGUGGGUUGACCUGGGUCUGGGUGUGCUUCCUUCUCUUUGUGUUUGUGCUACAGGCGAGGAUUGUGCUCGGAGAGGACCCACACGACGCUCCGCUUGCCGUCGUGGUGCACCCCUUUUGAAAUUUCCCGAGAUAGCUGAUUGGUGCUACAUGAUACAGUGGUGUUCUCCAACAUCUUCCAUGUCCAUAAACUAUGGUUUAUUUGUUGGUCUAAUUAUCUCUUGCUUAUCAGUACGGAGACUACAAUUUGUUCAGUCGUAAAUAAGAUGUCUAACUCCAAGUUGAAGUAUUAUCAGACUUUAUUUUUUAUAGUGUUUGAUAAACCGGUGGUUUAUAGUACCAUGGGAAUUUGUCUCAUACGUAGUAUGUGGUUCCUUAUAAAAAUAUGCCAAUCGUGUUGAAACAAGUAAUUUAUCUAGCUACACAUGCCCUUUCUGAUGCAUUGCGGGUUUGCUAUCAAACUCUCAAAAAGAAAGAACAACUUUAUUUUGUUUUGUUGGGAAACCUUUCUGUAGUCACUACCUUGACAGAGACAACUAUGUAAUCGAGGAUAUAUUUGGUGGGUUUUCAGGCAAAGCUUAGCGGAUAUUUUUAUAGGUUCAGCGCUUGCUUUAUGCUUUGAUAACUUUAAAUUCCUUUUGUUCUUUGGAUUAUCAUAGCAUACUCGUCUCUUCUAAUCCUAGCAAGGGCAUUCUUCAUGUUUACAGAUAGUUUGGCGCUCUCAUGGUUCUUUUCGAGAGAUUGUUCUUCCGAGCAUUAUUUGGUAACCAUCUACUGUAGAUCAUCUACUGCCCUUAUGACCUGAGCCCGCAGGAAUCGAUGCUGCUGCGUGACGUGGAGCCCAUGCCCGACCCCGACGACGGCGGUCGACCACAACCUCCCUCUCCGGAGAAGCUCAGGCUGCCACCACACAAAGGGAGAGGAGCCCAAGAUGAAUCUAUCCCGCCUUACUGUCAAUGACCCAACGACAGAGACAGCUACUUCGGGCCUAGGUGAGUAGCCGCCAGCCCUGCAUUUCGAGCCUAGGUAACCAAGUUUGUGUCUACUUCUAUGAUUAGUUGCUUAUGCUUCAUGGUCUUUGUGAAACACAACAUGAUGCCUUGUUGGUUCCUGGGCAAGGCCUUUUGGGACCGAUCUCUCUAGCGUUAAAGAAAGCAAGAUUGAUGCUCUGUUUUCUCUAUUUUUGUUGGGUUGGAACAGAGUGGGUUACCGAUCCCAUAUGCCAGUAUAUAGGAAGAACAAAAAAACUUUAGUUGAUUUACCUUUUAACCUAAAUUUAUAUAGGAAACUUAUACUAACCUUUAUCUCAGUUAGUUGCACCAGUUUGCAUGUAUUUCAGUUGUGGCUCCUUUAUUCUAAGUUAGCUGCAUCAUCUUGCAGUUAUUAGUGUUCUUCCAUGCCUACUUACAUGAGUGUGUCACUUAUAUUGUUCAUGGUGUAUGCCACCUGAUCAUUGUACAACCAUUGUUGCCUAUCAAUAAAUUUUGGGGUAAUGGAGACAUUGAUCGUCUUUCUCGGACAAUAUAUGGUUUGACUUCUUGUUGUUACAUUUUUGUUUGCGUCAGAAUUAUAACAUGUAUUUGGUUAUUGCAACAGGUAGCUUAUUUACCCCCUAAUUCCCUUUACUUUUGUUUGAUACUGUGUACAUAUCAAUGUUUAGUCACUUGAAUUCAGAACAAAGAUAUGGUACACCGGACACGAAAGAAAGGAGUAGAUAGAUAUACAGAUUCAGAUGAUAUAGUUUCUGUAGAUGCGAAGCACGGAAGUUCUAGGUAAAAGUGAAUCUGUUAGGGGGAAAACGAAGGCUUGUGUGCCUAUUAGUUAUUUUUUUGUUUUAUCAUUAUCGGCACCUUAUCUAUCUGUAACAUGUGUGACCUGUGCAACUGCAAAAGGGCAAUAAAAAUUCUGUGUAACACAUGUUUUGUA
Triticum urartu is the source of this 4027-nucleotide non-coding RNA. The record is from RefSeq and is a predicted model, not a curated record. NCBI's taxonomy places the organism in Eukaryota, Viridiplantae, Streptophyta, Magnoliopsida, Poales, Poaceae.